AGGAAACAUUAACAAAAUUCACAGGUACAGAUCCCACGCAACGUCCACGCAUUCCUAAACUUCACAACUCACAACAGUCAAACAAUAUAAUACACUGUAUGAACACACGCAUUCUACCAAAAUUUAUUAAUGCAGAAAUAACACUCGUAGAAAUACACACACUUAUUUAUGCAGCUGCUGUCACUAUCACUACACAACUAGGUCUUAAAACACUUCCAGAUAAGCUGGGCACUAACACAAGACACCACUUAAAGCCUGCCUGGCAAAAACAACUCGAAAAACAAAUAAACGAAAUCAGAACAGAAUAGGAAGACUCACUCAAUACACACAUCAACAAAUCACAUCAGCAAAACUUAUGAAAUCUAUUAGAAAGAUUUUCAGAAAACUAAAAACACCACACAUGGCAUGAAACCACAAUACAUACAUUAAAGAAUACAUAGACAUACAAAAACAGAAACUUAUAGCAAAAUCAAAAUGUGU
Molecule: long non-coding RNA, 480 nt
Filed under: Androctonus crassicauda
Lineage: Eukaryota; Metazoa; Arthropoda; Arachnida; Scorpiones; Buthidae
Source: RNAcentral